UUUUCAUAGUAUAAUAAGAAGUAAAAUGAAAAUAAAAAAUAGUGGUGUCAAAAACAGAAAGGACAACAGCCUCAAGAAAAUGCAAAGCAUAAACAUGAGAUCAGAAACUAAGAAUCAUUCCUGGAGAGGAUUGUUUUUUCUUGAAUUCUCCUUUGAAUCCUUUUCCUUCCUCUCCUUCUUUUCCUACUUUUUCCUCUGCUGUUAUUCAUUGGAAACUCAUACGUCAUACGUGCAUCUACUGGUAUAAUAUGAUCUUUUCUUAGGAUUCUUUUUUUUUUUCUAAUAAUUUUGUUGUCCGGCCAGCUUUUGAAUCGUGAGUAAUUCCACGGAAUAUCUAUCAUCUCCCAUCAGCAACAUUAGUCCACUCAAGAAAUGGCUGAACAACCACCAAGUGUGGAUGAACAUUCAAUUGAGAUUAGACGACCAAAAAAGAAGUUGAUUGUGCCAAGCAGCGUGUUGGAGAGUAUGAAGCAGCAGCUUCCAUCUUCAAUGCCAUCCUCACCUUCAGGCCAACCAAAGAGCGCGAAGUAUAACUGCUUGUGCUCACCAACCACACAUGCUGGUUCUUUCAGAUGCAGAUACCACAGGAGCUCAAGCAUGACUCGAAGUAGCAUGUCCGUGGGCUCAAAACUCUCCGAGCUAGCUGCUGAAAAAUGACCUGAUGCAUAGCAUGGAUGCUUGAACUUUACUCAAGUAAUGUGCUCCAUCAUUUCAUCUGUGUAAUUAAGCAUGUGAUGGGGACUCAAUUUCUGUCUUUUCUUACUUUCCUUUUAAUCCUUGAUCUUUGUUUACAAUAACUAUGCUGAUCUGAUUCCUAAAGUUGUAAAGGCAUGAAGAAUGCUUAGUUGUACAUUAUUUAUAUAUGUUGGUUACUUCUAAGAUCAA
Capsicum annuum is the source of this 885-nucleotide long non-coding RNA. RefSeq lists it as uncharacterized. The transcript is spliced from 2 exons. Lineage: Eukaryota; Viridiplantae; Streptophyta; Magnoliopsida; Solanales; Solanaceae. The record is from RefSeq and is a predicted model, not a curated record.